CAGCAGCCGCGGUAAUACGUAGGGUGCGAGCGUUAAUCGGAAUUACUGGGCGUAAAGCGUGCGCAGGCGGUUCGUUAAGUCUGAUGUGAAAGCCCCGGGCUCAACCUGGGAAUGGCAUUGGAAACUGGCGGGCUGGAGUAUGGCAGAGGGGGGUGGAAUUCCACGUGUAGCAGUGAAAUGCGUAGAGAUGUGGAGGAACACCGAUGGCGAAGGCAGCCCCCUGGGCCAAUACUGACGCUCAGGCACGAAAGCGUGGGGAGCAAACAGGAUUAGAUACCCUGGUAGUCCACGCCCUAAACGAUGAUCACUGGGUGUUGGGGAAGCGAUUCCUUGGUACCGUAGCUAACGCGUGAAGUGAUCCGCCUGGGGAGUACGGUCGCAAGAUUAAAACUCAAAGGAAUUGACGGGGACCCGCACAAGCGGUGGAUGAUGUGGAUUAAUUCGAUGCAACGCGAACAACCUUACCUACCCUUGACAUGUCCGGAACCCUGCUGAGAGGAGGUGCAUGGCC
This 511-nucleotide ribosomal RNA is filed under the name uncultured archaeon. RNAcentral describes it as "bacterial SSU rRNA". It matches the Rfam family "Bacterial small subunit ribosomal RNA", at positions 509 to 1020 of the family's 1533-position model. The record is from RNAcentral.